This 403-nucleotide ribosomal RNA is filed under the name bacterium. RNAcentral describes it as "partial 16S ribosomal RNA". It matches the Rfam family "Bacterial small subunit ribosomal RNA", at positions 355 to 776 of the family's 1533-position model. The record is from RNAcentral.
UGGGGAAUAUUGCACAAUGGGGGAAACCCUGAUGCAGCGACGCCGCGUGAACGAAGAAGGUAUUCGUAUCGUAAAGUUCUGUCCUAUGGGAAGAUAAUGACAGUACCAUAGAAGAAAGCUCCGGCUAAAUACGUCCCAGCAGCCGCGGUAAUACGUAUGGAGCGAGCGUUGUCCGGAAUUAUUGGGCGUAAAGGGUACGCAGGCGGUUUAAUAAGUCGAAUGUUAAAGAUCGGGGCUCAACCCCGCAAAGCAUUGGAAACUGAUAAACUUGAGUAGUGGAGAGGAAAGUGGAAUUCCUAGUGUAGUGGUGAAAUACGUAGAUAUUAGGAGGAAUACCAGUAGCGAAGGCGACUUUCUGGACACAAACUGACGCUGAGGUACGAAAGCGUGGGGAGCAAACAGG